Molecule: ribosomal RNA, 430 nt
Filed under: uncultured bacterium
Lineage: Bacteria
Description: bacterial SSU rRNA
Rfam family: Bacterial small subunit ribosomal RNA
Source: RNAcentral
GGGCCCGCACAAGCGGUGGAGCAUGUGGUUUAAUUCGAUGAUACGCGAGGAACCUUACCAGGGCUUAAAUGUAACGGGACAGAUCUAGAGAUAGAUCCUUCUUCGGACUCAUUACAAGGUGCUGCAUGGUUGUCGUCAGCUCGUGCCGUGAGGUGUCAGGUUAAGUCCUAUAACGAGCGCAACCCCCAUCGUUAGUUGCCAACGAGUAAUGUCGGGAACUCUAACGAAACUGCCGGUGCAAACCGUGAGGAAGGUGGGGAUGACGUCAAAUCAUCACGGCCCUUACGUCCUGGGCUACACACGUGCUACAAUGGUCGGUACAGAGAGCAGCCACUACGCGAGUAGGAGCAAAUCUUCAAACCCUAUCUCAGUUCGGAUCGGAGUCUGCAACUCGACUCCGUGAAGUUGGAAUCGCUAGUAAUCGCAUAUC